RNAcentral lists this ribosomal RNA (460 nucleotides) under uncultured bacterium. RNAcentral's name for it is "partial 16S ribosomal RNA". It matches the Rfam family "Bacterial small subunit ribosomal RNA", at positions 338 to 795 of the family's 1533-position model. The record is from RNAcentral.
CCUACGGGGGACUGCAGUGAGGAAUAUUGGUCAAUGGACGAGAGUCUGAACCAGCCAAGUAGCGUGAAGGAGGACUGUCCUAUGGGUUGUAAACUUCUUUUAUAUGGGAAUAAAAUGUUACACGUGUGGGAUGUUGUAUGUACCAUAAGAACAAGGAUCGGCUAACUCCGUGCCAGCAGCCGCGGUAAUACGGAGGAUCCGAGCGUUAUCCGGAUUUAUUGGGUUUAAAGGGUGCGUAGGUGGAUUGUUAAGUCAGUGGUGAAAGUUUGCGGCUCAACCGUAAAAUUGCAGUUGAAACUGGCAGUCUUGAGUACAGUAGAGGUGGGCGGAAUUCGUGGUGUAGCGGUGAAAUGCUUAGAUAUCACGAAGAACUCCGAUUGCGAAGGCAGCUCACUGGACUGCAACUGACACUGAGGCUCGAAAGUGUGGGUAUCGAACAGGAUUAGAUACCCCAGUAGUC